RNAcentral lists this ribosomal RNA (468 nucleotides) under uncultured bacterium. RNAcentral describes it as "partial 16S ribosomal RNA". It matches the Rfam family "Bacterial small subunit ribosomal RNA", at positions 28 to 507 of the family's 1533-position model. The record is from RNAcentral.
GACGAACGCUGGCGGCGUGCUUAACACAUGCAAGUCGAACGGAAAGGCCCUGCUUUUGUGGGGUGCUCGAGUGGCGAACGGGUGAGUAACACGUGAGUAACCUGCCCUUGACUUUGGGAUAACUUCAGGAAACUGGGGCUAAUACCGGAUAGGAGCUCCUGCUGCAUGGUGGGGGUUGGAAAGUUUCGGCGGUUGGGGAUGGACUCGCGGCUUAUCAGCUUGUUGGUGGGGUAGUGGCUUACCAAGGCUUUGACGGGUAGCCGGCCUGAGAGGGUGACCGGCCACAUUGGGACUGAGAUACGGCACAGACUCCUACGGGAGGCAGCAGUGGGGAAUAUUGCACAAUGGGCGGAAGCGUGAUGCAGAAACGCCGCGUGCGGGAUGACGGCCUUCGGGUUGUAAACCGCUUUCGCCUGUGACGAAGCGUGAGUGACGGUAAUGGGUAAAGAAGCACCGGCUAACUACGUG